Molecule: transfer RNA, 66 nt
Filed under: Ctenocephalides orientis
Lineage: Eukaryota; Metazoa; Arthropoda; Insecta; Siphonaptera; Pulicidae
Description: tRNA-Asp
Source: RNAcentral
AAAGAUUUAGUUAAAUUAAAUAACAUUAGAAUGUCAAACUAAAAUUAUUAAGAAAAAUAAUCUUUA